GACGAACGCUGGCGGCGUGCUUAACACAUGCAAGUCGAACGGAAAGGCCCUGCUUUUGUGGGGUGCUCGAGUGGCGAACGGGUGAGUAACACGUGAGUAACCUGCCCUUGACUUUGGGAUAACUUCAGGAAACUGGGGCUAAUACCGGAUAGGAGCUCCUGCUGCAUGGUGGGGGUUGGAAAGUUUCGGCGGUUGGGGAUGGACUCGCGGCUUAUCAGCUUGUUGGUGGGGUAGUGGCUUACCAAGGCCUUGACGGGUAGCCGGCCUGAGAGGGUGACCGUCCACAUUGGGACUGAGAUACGGCCCAGACUCCUACGGGAGGCAGCAGUGGGGAAUAUUGCACAAUGGGCGGAAGCCUGAUGCAGCAACGCCGCGUGCGGGAUGACGGCCUUCGGGUUGUAAACCGCUUUCGCCUGUGACGAAGCGUGAGUGACGGUAAUGGGUAAAGAAGCACCGGCUAACUACGUG
This 468-nucleotide ribosomal RNA is filed under the name uncultured bacterium. Its description in RNAcentral is "partial 16S ribosomal RNA". It matches the Rfam family "Bacterial small subunit ribosomal RNA", at positions 28 to 507 of the family's 1533-position model. The record is from RNAcentral.